UUGUAUCAUAAUAAUACAUUGGUUAGCACUCCCCUUGAGAAGGAUGGAAGAGGUCCUAAUGGCCUUUACAAUACAUAUAGGGUUAAGGCAUUGCCGCCUACUUAGUGGCCCCCUUCUAGACUGU
This is a small nuclear RNA of Tachyglossus aculeatus (Australian echidna), 124 nucleotides long. NCBI's taxonomy places the organism in Eukaryota, Metazoa, Chordata, Mammalia, Monotremata, Tachyglossidae. The record is from RefSeq and is a predicted model, not a curated record.